GCGUUCAUAGCUCAGUUGGUUAGAGCACCACCUUGACACUUCGGCGUUGUAAGGUUAAUUGGUUCGAGUCCAAUUGAACGCACCA
This 85-nucleotide transfer RNA is filed under the name Citrobacter sp. wls715. RNAcentral describes it as "tRNA-Val". It matches the Rfam family "tRNA". Rfam says of the family: Transfer RNA (tRNA) molecules are approximately 80 nucleotides in length. Their secondary structure includes four short double-helical elements and three loops (D, anti-codon, and T loops). Lineage: Bacteria; Pseudomonadati; Pseudomonadota; Gammaproteobacteria; Enterobacterales; Enterobacteriaceae. The record is from RNAcentral.